CAGGACGUAGCUAUAAAAUAAAAGCAUUCAGCUUACACCUGAAAGAUAUCUACUCGCCCAGAUCGUCCUGA
RNAcentral lists this transfer RNA (71 nucleotides) under Todiramphus sanctus vagans (New Zealand sacred kingfisher). RNAcentral describes it as "tRNA-Val". The record is from RNAcentral. Lineage: Eukaryota; Metazoa; Chordata; Aves; Coraciiformes; Alcedinidae.